This 243-nucleotide long non-coding RNA is filed under the name Elaeis guineensis (African oil palm). RNAcentral describes it as "long non-coding RNA (EGUI_LNC041144)". Lineage: Eukaryota; Viridiplantae; Streptophyta; Magnoliopsida; Arecales; Arecaceae. The record is from RNAcentral.
GGGAUGAUCAUCAUAUGUAGCACUCUUCUAUGAUAAGGGAUCAGCGAAUUGGUAAAUAAAAAUUACAAGGAAAAUAAUGGGGUGUUCAUAAGCUGAUUGGAGUUAGAUGUGCUCACGAAUAUGAUAUCAUGUGCAGAUAGACUCUAUGAAAAAUAGUCUUGGAAAAGCCUAGAAGGAUGAUGUCUACUAACAUCCAGUGAUGGGAUCUGCGAUCUAUGUUGCCUUUGGUCAUCUUGCUCCCAA